GGCUGUCAAACAUAUGGCCGGCAGUGGCCAGAAUUAGUCUCGUAGCAAAGCUGGCUGUUCCCCUAAGCAGCUCUCAGACAGCAGUGCAGAGUAGUAAGAGAGGACACCGGCGGCUAACACAAUGGACCUGCAGGUAUUAAUGAGGGGUGGUGGGCUGCUAUGUCUAGAGGCUAAAUAGAGGGACUGGUGGGGGAAUCAGAUUGCA
This is a non-coding RNA of Pelobates cultripes (western spadefoot toad), 205 nucleotides long. Lineage: Eukaryota; Metazoa; Chordata; Amphibia; Anura; Pelobatidae. The record is from the annotation of a GenBank genome assembly.